This 497-nucleotide ribosomal RNA is filed under the name uncultured bacterium. Its description in RNAcentral is "partial 16S ribosomal RNA". It matches the Rfam family "Bacterial small subunit ribosomal RNA", at positions 28 to 507 of the family's 1533-position model. The record is from RNAcentral.
GAUGAACGCUGGCGGCGUGCCUAAUACAUGCAAGUCGAGCGAACAGACGAGGAGCUUGCUCCUCUGACGUUAGCGGCGGACGGGUGAGUAACACGUGGAUAACCUACCUAUAAGACUGGGAUAACUUCGGGAAACCGGAGCUAAUACCGGAUAAUAUAUUGAACCGCAUGGUUCAAUAGUGAAAGACGGUUUUGCUGUCACUUAUAGAUGGAUCCGCGCCGCAUUAGCUAGUUGGUAAGGUAACGGCUUACCAAGGCAACGAUGCGUAGCCGACCUGAGAGAGUGAUCGGCCACACUGGAACUGAGACACGGGCCAGACUCCUACGGGAGGCAGCAGUAGGGAAUCUUCCACAAUGGGCGAAAGCCUGACGGAGCAACGCCGCGUGAGUGAUAAAAGUCUUCGGAUCGUAAAACUCUGUUAUUAGGGAAGAACAAAUGUGUAAGUAACUAUGCACGUCUUGACGGUACCUAAUCAGAAAGCCACGGCUAACUACGUG